CCUACGGGAGGCAGCAGUGAGGAAUAUUGGUCAAUGGGCGUAAGCCUGAACCAGCGAAGCCGCGUGAGGGAUGAAGGUUCUAUGGAUCGUAAACCUCGUUUACAAGGGAAUAAAGUGUGGGACGUGUCCUAUUGUGUAUGUACCGUAGGAAUAAGGAUAGGCUAAGUCCGUGCCAGCAGCCGCGGUAAUACGGAGGAUACGAGCGUUAUCCGGAUUUAUGGGGUUUAAAGGGUGCGUAGGUGGCCUUUUAAGUCAGCGGUGAAAGUCUGUGGCUCAACCAUAGAAUUGCCGUUGAAACUGGGGGGCUUGAGUAUGUUUGAGGCAGGCGGAAUUCGUGGUGUAGCGGUGAAAUGCUUAGAUAUCACGCAGAACCCCGAUUGCGAAGGCAGCCUGCCAAGCCAUGACUGACGCUGAUGCACGAAAGCGUGGGGAUCAAACAGGAUUAGAUACCCUUGUAGUC
This 460-nucleotide ribosomal RNA is filed under the name uncultured bacterium. RNAcentral's name for it is "partial 16S ribosomal RNA". It matches the Rfam family "Bacterial small subunit ribosomal RNA", at positions 338 to 795 of the family's 1533-position model. The record is from RNAcentral.